Long non-coding RNA from Acinonyx jubatus (cheetah), 1795 nucleotides. RefSeq lists it as uncharacterized. Lineage: Eukaryota; Metazoa; Chordata; Mammalia; Carnivora; Felidae. The record is from RefSeq and is a predicted model, not a curated record. The transcript is spliced from 11 exons.
UCUGAUGGAGAACUUUCUCCCCUUUUCUUUCCGUUAUUCUCUUUCUCAGUCUUACUUCUUCCUGGAAGUAUUGCAUAAUUACUCCAGCCAGAGAUUCUGUUUUCCUCUGAGCUACAGAAGCACUGACACUUGGUACCACUCACUCAUCAUGGACAGACUGCCAGCAGUCUGGGACAUCCUCUGAAAGUAUAAAGGUUGACCUGAACAGAGAAGAGAGAAGAAGGGAGAAGGAGGGACAGACAGCAAAGGAUGGAGAGAAUGAGAAGCAAGUGAGUAAGAAUAGAGAUGGAGAAGAGGAAACUGAAUAAGUUCCUGUGCAUAGGAGGUACAGGGAUCCAGAAUUGGGCCCCUCUGUGCCUUUGAGGAUUUAGAAAAGACAGAGAACAAAAGACUUGCUUUCUGGAACCCAUAUAAGCCUUGAUAUUUUAUGUUCUGCAACACUGUUGGGCUUUCUGGUCUCCUGCAUUCUUGGCUACCAUAAACUGAGUGCUCUCCAUGUUCCAGGUCAAGUCCAGGAUGGGUGUUCCUGAUUGAUAGGAAGCUCUCCUCCAGCUGGAGCCUGCAUGGAGGAGGUGACAUCUAAGUUGGAUUGUGAAGGGUGAGGAUUUUUUCAUGCAGAGGAGAGGAGCACAAACCUUUCAGUACUGAAGGAUUCAGGACCAUGGCCAGCACCGAAGCAGCCUACAAAUUCUGAAAUAAGCUUAGAGUCUUAGCCAAAGAGAUCAGCACUGCCUUUAACCUUCUUCCCUGCCUUUCCCAUUUGGCCAAGUCUUACUGAUCCUUCAACUCAGAUGCCACCACUUCUGGAAAACCUUCCUGGAGACCCACACAGAGGGAGCUUGGCGUGAGGGGAGAGGGCUGAGUCUGCUGCCUCUGGAUGGAGUGAGAGCUUCUCAAGGUAGAACAAAGGCAGUGAAGGGUGUAGGGAUAUUAUACAGCUGUGCUCCAUGAGCAUGUGUUAAGGCUGUGGAAUGGAUCCUGGCAGGAUGACCUCAAAUUAAGAUUUUAAUGACUCUUCCAUUUAGAAGACACACUCUUUCCAUUAAUGCUGCCUUGUCAGAGUGAACACAUUAUAGAGAAGAGAUUUUGGCACGCCUUUCCCACUAAUGCUUAGCAAAUGCAUCAAAACUUUGCCAGCAAACUGCGUUCAUUCAUAGCAGGGCACUGGCUGUGGCAUUGAGACACAAGGAAAGAAAUGACAAAGAAACACUUAACCUGUGACUUGAUCAACCAGGAUUCGAGAGGUGAUGAUACGGCCAUAUUGCGAGAAAAGCUGCUCCAGUUCCUUCUGGGUCAUGGUUUUGGGAAGGCCGCUAACGUAGAGGUUAGCAUCCCUGAUUGAGGCAGAGCUCGGACGGGCAUAUGAGACCUAGGAAAAGGCAAGAGGAGCUAAAUCCAUUACAGCAACACCCUCUGAGUAGAGACUGAGUCAACAACUGAGAUGACAGCCCCUUGUCUAUCAUUCGAACUCAUGGUGCCAUUUAAAUAUCUCAGUAGUUCAGAUUCUUAGCUACUCUUGUAAUCGUAAUACGAAUCCCGAGAACGGCAACAGAGGAACAAAAGGAGAGGUGACGAUAACUUAAAACAAAUGCACAGAUAAGGGUCUCUAAGUGCAGAACGAAAUAGCUACUGUAUGGCAGCUGUUAAAUGCAGAACGACCCACGCAUGGAGCUCUGAAGAUUUACCUCCUGGAUGUGGGUGUAUAGAUGAUUUACUGUAUCUAACACAUAAUAAUCUUUGAACAAACCAAAAAAAAAAAAAACCUCCAUGAAAUUCUGCUCUGCAGAUUUCUCUC